UGGGGGAUCGUCUAAUGGUAGGACAGCGGACUCUGGAUCCGCGAGUGAGGGUUCGAAUCCUUCUCCCCCAGCCA
RNAcentral lists this transfer RNA (74 nucleotides) under Deferrisoma palaeochoriense. Its description in RNAcentral is "tRNA-Gln". It matches the Rfam family "tRNA". From Rfam's summary of the family: Transfer RNA (tRNA) molecules are approximately 80 nucleotides in length. Their secondary structure includes four short double-helical elements and three loops (D, anti-codon, and T loops). The record is from RNAcentral. Lineage: Bacteria; Pseudomonadati; Thermodesulfobacteriota; Deferrisomatia; Deferrisomatales; Deferrisomataceae. RNAcentral also lists the same sequence under 3 other names.